AGGGGUUUUGUUUCUUAGUUUGGGGGCUUGCUUCGAUCCCAACAUUUCUCCUUCCUAUUGCAUUUUUUUUGGUAGGACUUAGUCCCCUGAAGUUCUCUCUGACCUUGACUGCAACCUCUGGAGACUUUUAGUUUGUUGUCAACAGAGGAGCUGAGGAUAGUUCACUCUCACUAUACACAGUUUGUCUUCUCAGGAUUUGCUUCCAACUCUACUACCAUAUCAAGUUCUAAAGUUUUUUUCCUUGAAGGGGUGUGAGCAAAACGAUGGCUUAAUCCACUGAAAUCUUACCUCUUAACUCUGUAAAUACUACGUCUUAACUGUGUAUUUUCUGUAUAAUUCUAGGCACGACAGGAAUGCAUCCCAUCGAGGGAUGCAAAAAUCGCUAGAGACCUUCAACGAGCCUUCCAGUUGAGACUUGAAUGUGAAAACUUCCUGCUUACCAAAAUGUUGCGUACGAUGUUAUGCAGUUGCCUGGAAAAAACCAAGCGCAAAGAAACCCUUGGCUUAAGCUGAAGUUACCCUUCACUACAGUUCAUCUCAAGCACAAACAGCAAAACAGCCACAAGAUAAGUAUAAGCUUCAGCCAUCACUUCCCCUCCCAUGUACACCGAUGGCAUUCAGCACUAAACCGCACCAUACCCGUUCUUUGCUGUUGGUUCCUGAUUUUUGCUAUGAUUCUGUGAUUCAUGGCUUGUCUUGGUAGCUUAGGUGGUGCAGUCUUUUUUGGAAUAAGCAAGAAGAUCAGUGACAAAAGAUAAUCUGUCUUUAGGAAAAGAUUAUUCACUAUUUUUUCGGCAAAUAUCAGUUCAGUGCUUGCCGUACGUAGCAUAAAACAUGCUGUAGAAUUUGAGGCCAGGUGUCCAAAGAGGAAAUGCACCUGUUCCAUGGGGAUUUGUUCCUCCAGAGUUACUGCUUUGCAGUGCCUGGUGCUGUGUAGUAGUAGUGUGCCAAUAAAUCACUGGUUUGGACAUAAAAGGAAAGCAGAGACUUUGGGUUGAAGAGGUCUACAGGGGGCUGUUUAGCACAGGAGUCAUUUGUGGAUUGCCUGAAGGUGUUCAGUGUGUAGCCCCCAGAAUGUCUUCCACUUGCUUUAGAAAUGCUGUUGACGGAUAAGCAAUUGUGGAAAAAAUGGGUUUCUUCCUUUGCACCUAGCCCUUCCGUUGUUAUGUUCCCUUGGAAAUUUUAAAGUCUCUGUCUGGAUUGCAGUCCCUUGUGUUGCCUGUCAUGUCCUUGCCUUAUUUUGCCCUGUCUGCUGUAAAAGUAACACCAGGAAUCUUGUCAAUUUUCCCCCCAGCCACUGCUAAACUUACAAGUGGAUCUGCUGGAUCUUCAAAAAAUCUUCAUGUGGAGCACGGACGCGGUCCCUGUGGGAAUAACAGGUUUGCCACUCUCGGGAUGAGGGUGUAAAAAAUGGCUCAUUUAGGGAGCUUUCAUAUGCAGCAAUGUCCUCACUCCCGACAGA
This is a long non-coding RNA of Pseudopipra pipra, 1462 nucleotides long. RefSeq lists it as uncharacterized. The record is from RefSeq and is a predicted model, not a curated record. The transcript is spliced from 3 exons. Lineage: Eukaryota; Metazoa; Chordata; Aves; Passeriformes; Pipridae.